ACGGGGAGCAGCAGGCGCGAAACCUUUACACUGCACGCCAGUGCGAUAAGGGGACCCCGAGUGCGAGGGCAUACAGUCCUCGCUUUUUCCUACCGUAAGGAGGUAGGCGAAUAAGAGCUGGGCAAGACCGGUGCCAGCCGCCGCGGUAAUACCGGCAGCUCGAGUGAUGGCCACUAUUAUUGGGCCUAAAGCGUCCGUAGCUGGCCGAACAGGUCCGUCGGGAAAUCCGCUCGCUCAACGAGCGGACGUCCGGCGGAAACCAGUCGGCUUGGGACCGGAGGACCCGAGGGGUACGUCCGGGGUAGGAGUGAAAUCCUGUAAUCCUGGACGGACCACCGGUGGCGAAAGCGCCUCGGGAGGACGGAUCCGACAGUGAGGGACGAAAGCUUGGGUCACGAACCGGAUUAGAUAUCCGGGUAGUCCAAGCUGUAAACGAUGCUCGCUAGGUGUGGCACUGGCUACGAGCCAGUGCUGUGCCGUAGGGAAGCCGAGAAGCGAGCCGCCUGGGAAGUACGUCCGCAAGGAUGAAACUUAAAGGAAUUGGCGGGGGAGCAC
RNAcentral lists this ribosomal RNA (555 nucleotides) under uncultured archaeon. RNAcentral describes it as "bacterial SSU rRNA". It matches the Rfam family "Archaeal small subunit ribosomal RNA", at positions 325 to 879 of the family's 1478-position model. The record is from RNAcentral.